CCUGAACUGAUCUCGUCUCAGAAAUAUGGAUUGGUGCUUUCGCAUGGCAAUCUCCUUGUGUACUAUGAUUUUCGCCAUUAUUGCAGUCUCUAUCCGUUAAGAAAUGCAUGUAUUUGCCAUUAAGAUUAUCAUCUGUGUUGUUAUCUAGUACCAAUGGGAACACAGGAUCUGGAUCAAACCUACGUAAAAAGGCAACGACAAAUACCAGGGAUGUACAGCCAUUAUACACAAGUUGAGCUUAUAGGGCCCAUUUACACCAUAUAACUAGCUGUAAUGAUUGUCAUUCUACUGACGUCACUAUUCCUAAUAAUAAUAAAUUCCUGUCCACACUAUUCCUGUGGUGAAAUUACAGCCAUUAUACACAAGUUGAGCUUAUAGGGCCCAUUUACACCAUAUAACUAGCUGUAAUGAUUGUCAUUCUACUGACGUCACUAUUCCUAAUAAAAUAAAUUCCUGUCCACACUAUUCCUGUGGUGAAAUUUGAAAUGUCACAUCUUUACACGCAUUACAAGGAUAAGAAUCGUCUAGUCGUAUUGUGUAAAUGGGCCAAUACGUAACCUCGCAAGCCAUCUCUUUACCUCCCCAAACCCCCCCCCCCCC
Non-coding RNA from Paramuricea clavata, 600 nucleotides. Lineage: Eukaryota; Metazoa; Cnidaria; Anthozoa; Malacalcyonacea; Plexauridae. The record is from the annotation of a GenBank genome assembly.